Long non-coding RNA from Coccinella septempunctata (seven-spotted ladybird), 746 nucleotides. RefSeq lists it as uncharacterized. The transcript is spliced from 2 exons. The record is from RefSeq and is a predicted model, not a curated record. NCBI's taxonomy places the organism in Eukaryota, Metazoa, Arthropoda, Insecta, Coleoptera, Coccinellidae.
UCCUUCUACGAAAACGAAGAAAUAUGAAAAUGGGAUAUGGGCUAGUAAGCCCAUAGUUUUACCCUUAGGUAGAUAUACCUAUUUAAACAGAUUCGCUCAAAAAAAUUUAAAUAAAAAUAUAAUUUUUAAAAAUACCGAGGCCAAAAUAUUGUUCUAUGUUGUUGUUUUUCUAUGAAACAUAAUCAAAACUUAUAGUAGUGCUCUGUGGUCCAAAGUUUCUAACCUAACCUAUCAUUCUGUUGUUAUAUAAAUGAAACUGAAUGAGAAAUGCUUUUCCUUUUCUCAAUGAAUCAAAAACUUUAUGUGAUACUGUCACCUAAUCUUCUAAAUCUCACAUUUUCCGACUCUUACUUUUGUUAUCUUUAGCAAAUGUAUAUUUUCUACUGGGGAUGUGUCUAUAAGAAUAAUACUUAAAAUACAGGGAAUUAUGAAAAUUAUAUCGAUGAUGAAUAAACUGCAUACUGGAAUUGGAAAUGAAACAAAAAACCCAAAAUAGUUGAUGAUAUUAGCAAAAAUCAGUUAUAUGCAGUUAGAAGGAAGCAUUUUAAAAGAGAAUCCUGCUUUUCAACAUUUCAUUCAGUUAAUUUUAUUUUGAAAAGAAACUUCUUCCUUCUCUACGAUGAAAACAAAAAUGGGAAUAACUUGCCAAAAGUCUAUAAAUAAAGAAUUCUAAUGCAAAAACUCACCCGGAUAAUGUAUUCCAAUAAUCAUUAUAUUAUUUCCAUUGAAUAAAUUGAUCGAACAUA